AGUGCGUGAGUUUCCCUUUGUCUAUAUUAAGUCUAGGCUAGCCAGUUCUUCUCCGCUUCUAUACGCGGGAGCUGAGGGGCAUGCAGACCUUGAAAUCCCGGCACCGCUCCCUCCACCCCGAGCCUCCCUUUUCCAGCCACCGGUUCUCCUGACCCCGAGUGUGGGGGGUGACUUCAGUCUCCUGACAUCCAGUGUUCUCUCGAGCCAGUUUCCAGCCCACCGAAAAUGAGCUCUUCCGGAAGUGGGCAUCUUAUUCCAAUCCCCUCCCUGUGAAUGUGUGGAGAAAAAGAGAUGGGAACGAGGCAGAGGAAAUAGAGAAAUUUUGAAAGAGAAAUGAAGAAUGAGAGACCCAUUAACAGAAGGCAAAGUAGAAGGUUCACAAAUUUUAAGAAAGGGAGAAUAAAGUGAAAAAAUCUCAGAAGGAAUCCACUCAACAGACGAGGAUUCACUUCCAAAGAGACAUAUUAUGCAAGGAAGCAACUCGGAAGAGGAAAGAAAAGAAGUCAGGAAUGG
RNAcentral lists this small RNA (513 nucleotides) under Pan troglodytes (chimpanzee). RNAcentral describes it as "processed transcript". The record is from RNAcentral. Lineage: Eukaryota; Metazoa; Chordata; Mammalia; Primates; Hominidae.